Molecule: long non-coding RNA, 413 nt
Organism: Cercocebus atys (sooty mangabey)
Lineage: Eukaryota; Metazoa; Chordata; Mammalia; Primates; Cercopithecidae
Exons: 3
Source: RefSeq, a predicted model, not a curated record
CUGUUUUCCACUGUGAAAGCAAAAGAAGCAAGAGUUGCCCCCCAGGAAUGAGGACAUUUAGGGGCACACACUUAGGGGAACACAGUUCAUCUGAGAAGUCACAUCUGGUUGAGGGAGGCGUAGAGAUGUCAGAUGCCUGUCUCCUGGUUCCAAAUUCAAGUUGAUUGAAGUGUCUGUCACCUGCCCUUUAUCCAACCUGAGGGAUCGCUGGGCACUGCCCUCCAGCCAUCCACAGGAGUUGACCGGGUGACAACAGAUGCGUUCACACAUCUGGGUGUUCACCAGGCUGUCCUGCACCUCCCAUGACUAAUAGACACACCGAGCUUCUGUCCCAGGCUAAGCGUCCUGUCAGGCCCUGGCAGGGGCCCCGUGCUGUCUCACAUACCAGCUGCAGAGCCAGUCUCCCCAGGAAC